RNAcentral lists this ribosomal RNA (497 nucleotides) under uncultured bacterium. RNAcentral describes it as "partial 16S ribosomal RNA". It matches the Rfam family "Bacterial small subunit ribosomal RNA", at positions 28 to 507 of the family's 1533-position model. The record is from RNAcentral.
GAUGAACGCUGGCGGCGUGCCUAAUACAUGCAAGUCGAGCGAACGGACGAGAAGCUUGCUUCUCUGAUGUUAGCGGCGGACGGGUGAGUAACACGUGUAUAACCUACCUAUAAGACUGGGAUAACUUCGGGAAACCGGAGCUUAUCCCGGAUGAUAUUUUGAACCGCAUGGUUCAAAAGUGAAAGACGGUCUUGCUGUCACUUAUAGAUGGAUCCGCGCUGCAUUAGCUAGUUGGUAAGGUAACGGCUUACCAAGGCAACGAUGCAUAGCCGACCUGAGAGGGUGAUAGGCCACACUGGAAGUGAGACACGGUCCAGACUCCUACGGGAGGCAGCAGUAGGGAAUCUUCCGCAAUGGGCGAAAGCAUGACGGAGCAACGCCGCGUGAGUGAUGAAGGUCUUCGGAUCGUAAAACUCUGUUAUUAGGGAAGAACAUAUGUGUAAGUAACUGUGCACAUCUUGACGGUACCUAAUCAGAAAGCCACGGCUAACUACGUG